RNAcentral lists this ribosomal RNA (433 nucleotides) under uncultured bacterium. Its description in RNAcentral is "partial 16S ribosomal RNA". It matches the Rfam family "Bacterial small subunit ribosomal RNA", at positions 29 to 507 of the family's 1533-position model. The record is from RNAcentral.
AACGAACGCUGGCGGCAUGCCUAACACAUGCAAGUCGAACGAGACCUUCGGGGCUAGUGGCGCACGGGUGAGUAACGCGUGGGAACCUGCCCUUAGGUUCGGAAUAACUCCCCGAAAGGGGUGCUAAUACCGGAUAAUGUCUUCGGGCAAAAGAUUUAUCGCCUUUGGAUGGGCCCGCGUUGGAUUAGCUAGUUGGUAGGGUAAAAGCCUACCAAGGCGACGAUCAAUAGCUGGUCUGAGAGGAUGAUCAGCCACACUGGGACUGAGACACGGCCCAGACUCCUACGGGAGGCAGCAGUGGGGAAUAUUGGGCAAUGGGCGAAAGCCUGAUCCAGCAAUGCCGCGUGAAUGAUGAAGGCCUUAGGGUUGUAAAACUCUUUUACCCGGGAUGAUAAUGACAGUACCGGGAGAAUAAGCUCCGGCUAACUCCGUG